CCUACGGGAGGCAGCAGUGAGGAAUAUUGGUCAAUGGACGAGAGUCUGAACCAGCCAAGUAGCGUGAAGGAUGACUGCCCUAUGGGUUGUAAACUUCUUUUAUAUGGGAAUAAAAUGUGCUACGUGUGGGUUUUUGUAUGUACCUUAUGAAUAAGGAUCGGCUAACUCCGUGCCAGCAGCCGCGGUAAUACGGAGGAUCCGAGCGUUAUCCGGAUUUAUUGGGUUUAAAGGGAGCGUAGGUGGAUUGUUAAGUCAGUUGUGAAAGUUUGCGGCUCAACCGUAAAAUUGCAGUUGAUACUGGCAGUCUUGAGUACAGUAGAGGUGGGCGGAAUUCGUGGUGUAGCGGUGAAAUGCUUAGAUAUCACGAAGAACUCCGAUUGCGAAGGCAGCUCACUGGACUGCAACUGACACUGAGGCUCGAAAGUGUGGGUAUCAAACAGGAUUAGAUACCCUUGUAGUC
This 460-nucleotide ribosomal RNA is filed under the name uncultured bacterium. RNAcentral describes it as "partial 16S ribosomal RNA". It matches the Rfam family "Bacterial small subunit ribosomal RNA", at positions 338 to 795 of the family's 1533-position model. The record is from RNAcentral.